GAUUAUAAUUAUUCGGCGAUGGGGCCGGCGUGUCCGUGUCGGACAAAAGUCCCAUAAACAUUAAGAUAAUAAAA
Maniola jurtina (meadow brown) is the source of this 74-nucleotide long non-coding RNA. RefSeq lists it as uncharacterized. NCBI's taxonomy places the organism in Eukaryota, Metazoa, Arthropoda, Insecta, Lepidoptera, Nymphalidae. The transcript has 3 exons. The record is from RefSeq and is a predicted model, not a curated record.